Molecule: ribosomal RNA, 253 nt
Filed under: uncultured bacterium
Lineage: Bacteria
Description: partial 16S ribosomal RNA
Rfam family: Bacterial small subunit ribosomal RNA
Source: RNAcentral
UACGUAGGAGACGAGCGUUGUCCGGAGUUACUGGGCGUAAAGGGUGCGCAGGUGGCGGCGCGCGUGGGGGGUGAAAUCGCCCGGCUUAACUGGGCGGGGGCCUUCCAGACGGCGUGGCUUGAGCAGCGGAGGGGGACGUGGAAUUCCGGGUGGAGCGGUGAAAUGCGUAGAGAUGUGGAGGAACACCGAUGGCGAAGGCAGCCCCCUGGGUCAAGAUUGACGCUCAUGCACGAAAGCGUGGGGAGCAAACAGG